CAGCCAGGCCCCAUGUCACAGCCAGGUUGUCCUUGAAAAUUUCUGUCAUAUGACUUCCUUCCUCUACAUUUCCACUGACCCACCCAGCUCGGAGUUGCAUUACAAGAUUAUGCAACAGUCUCUGAAUUGUCCUGUCAUUUAGUCAGCUGACAUUUCGUGAGGACAGACUGUGUAUGAGGCAUCAUGAUGCCACAUGCCGGGAGGUACUAAGAGGAACGAGGCACGCAGACAGCUACAUUCUAAGUCAGAGGAUGGAAAGUAGCAGAAGAGAUAAAGAGCAAAGGAAAUCUGCAGGUGGGAGGUGUCACUUCCAGAGAAAGAAGACUCAGAAAACUUCAGGCCAGCCAUCAAGCCAAAUCUGGCACAGCGUGGAGUCACAUCAAUUUUGGCAACUGACUAAAUCAAGGCAAUGACAGGAAUUCUGGCAUUUGGUAACUGGGCCCCGGACCACGGGGUGAUGGACGGCCGUGCUACCCUUGCAGGGGGCCACAGGAAGCAGACUCGGGGCAGGUGAAAGUAGCACGUCCAGCUUGGGCUCUCACGAGCCUGGGGUCCCUGCGGAACUUCUAAGUGAAGGUCCAGCUCCGACAUGGGAGGAGCAGCUGCAGACGUGAUGCCUUCAUGGGAUGACGCACUUCCCAAAGCUGGUGCUGGAGAGGACAGCUUUUCAUCUGGCUGUUAUGGCGACAAGCCAGGCAAUAAAAACACACACCUUUCCCCUGCUGCUAGCUGAAUUUCCAGAAGACUGCAACUUACUAUUUAAAAGAACAGUCCAACAGGCUGCUCUGCGCUCUCAGCAAAGAAGAACGAAGGAGGGAGUAAACAGUGAGCCGGAGUCAGAAGGAAUAAGGGAAGAGAAGAGGAGAUGAGGGAAAUAGGAGAGGGAAACAAAAGAAAUAAAGAGACAGUAUGGCUUAUCCAUGGUUCCAAACUUCAAUGCACUCCUUGGACUGCUUAUUGAAAAUGCACAUUUCUGGCCAGGCGCAGCGGCGCAUGCCUGUAGUCCCAGCUACUCAGGAGGCUGAGGCAGGAGGAUUGCUUGAGCUUAGGAG
This is a long non-coding RNA of Microcebus murinus (gray mouse lemur), 1052 nucleotides long. RefSeq lists it as uncharacterized. The record is from RefSeq and is a predicted model, not a curated record. NCBI's taxonomy places the organism in Eukaryota, Metazoa, Chordata, Mammalia, Primates, Cheirogaleidae.